Molecule: long non-coding RNA, 651 nt
Organism: Mytilus trossulus (common blue mussel)
Lineage: Eukaryota; Metazoa; Mollusca; Bivalvia; Mytilida; Mytilidae
Exons: 5
Source: RefSeq, a predicted model, not a curated record
AUUUCUUUGUAUCCGAAACAAGUAUCCUGAUUCACCAAUGCUGGAAUUUGCUGGAAGAUCAAGACUAGAUGUCGAGAAAGACAGAAGAUCAUCAAACGAAGUGAAAAUCGGUUGAUGUUUCCUUCCAAGGUUGUUGAUGACUGCCAUUUCCAUGACACUUUUAAUCAAAGAGACUGUCCUGACUCAAGUUAAGAUUUGUGAUCCAUCAUGAAGACCAUUUUUUCUGAGAUGAACACAGACUGCAGUUAUGUCACUUGCUUCAAAAACAGACUUUUGACCUAGUGUGAUGGUUUACAAUUACAUGAAAUGUUUCCCAGACGUCAGGAGAUGUUAAUAGACCAGAGGAACUCCUUUGUCCAUAAUCUAUAACUCAGCGGUUGAAAACCAACAACAUUUUGGAUUGACCUGGAAGUAUAACAACUCUGUAGCCCAUGAUAAACCUCUAGAAGGAAAUGGAAAAGUUAAAAAAUAAAAGUGGAUAGUUUCUAUGCUAAUCAAGAGUGUGUGGCUGUCUUCCUCAGGCCAAAUAAAAUGAUUAAAAUAUAUGGAUAUCUUUGUAUUAUUGUAUUAUUGAUUUGAUGAGUUAUUUACUGGUUAAAAGAAGAACAUAUAUUCUCUGAACAAACUUUAUUAAAAUAGAAUUGUACAGAA